Molecule: ribosomal RNA, 253 nt
Filed under: uncultured bacterium
Lineage: Bacteria
Description: partial 16S ribosomal RNA
Rfam family: Bacterial small subunit ribosomal RNA
Source: RNAcentral
UACGUAGGGUGCAAGCGUUGUCCGGAAUUAUUGGGCGUAAAGAGCUUGUAGGCGGUUUGUCGCGUCUGCUGUGAAAUUUCGGGGCUCAACCCCGAACUUGCAGUGGGUACGGGCAGACUAGAGUCAGGUAGGGGAGAACGGAAUUCCUGGUGUAGCGGUGAAAUGCGCAGAUAUCAGGAGGAACACCGGUGGCGAAGGCGGUUCUCUGGGCCUGUACUGACGCUGAGGAACGAAAGCGUGGGGAGCGAACAGG